Bombus impatiens (common eastern bumble bee) is the source of this 1463-nucleotide long non-coding RNA. RefSeq lists it as uncharacterized. The record is from RefSeq and is a predicted model, not a curated record. The transcript has 2 exons. NCBI's taxonomy places the organism in Eukaryota, Metazoa, Arthropoda, Insecta, Hymenoptera, Apidae.
UGUGGCAGGUCGUUGAAUUUCUCUCAACAUCCGCUAUCAUACGAUGAAUAAAAAAAUAUAGGGUUCGAUUUAACAAAGUUAACUUGAGAUCCCCUUCUAAAUACAAAUUACUUAUACCACAUAAUGUCCGACUUUAUGUCAUACAACUUUUGCAAGAACAUGUUUUUGAUAGCUUCAAUCCCUCAAGAGAUAUUCCACUGUUGCCGUUUAAACGUAACACACCAUAUGUUUUACGUUACUGUAACACUAAAUAUUCUUCUCUACUGUAACAAUGAAGGUUACUUAACAUUUACAUUCAUUCGUGUUAGUGUUCUCUGUAACCAAACUUCUUCGAAAGACGUCGUCGGUGUGCACAAGUCCGAGGUAUCUGUUCAAAGGCUCAUCCGUCAUCAGUCGUCCAAUCACGACGGUCUAGCGUAAUGUACCUCGGCGAGUGCCAUCGGCGUAAUCAUUUACUCCCCUUCUUUGAUUAAUGACGAGUACGGCGUGCGUCUUGACGAGUUGAAACGCAACACCGGCAACUCCUGGACGUGGCGAGAUCGUCGCUUUUUGUAGCUCCUCGUCAGUACGCUCGAGAGCCUGAUGGACGUGUUCACAUGGACAAAGGCGAGGACCGACAUCGUUUCGACAGUGCCCCGUGUUCGUUUAGUCCGCGACUAGUCGUACGUCUUUCGGUUACAUACAGACAUACAUAGGCGGUUGGACUGAGAUGACAACGCGCGUCGUGUACGAGUACGAAGGUUAAUGGACACAGAAUGCCGAUCGAUCAUCCGACCACUGGUAUAGGAUAUAUUAUGUUUAGGGGAUUGAAAUAGGAGAGAUGGGUCGAUAAUGGGGAUUCUGUGUGGAGUAUAUUGUUGGAUUACUGCGAAUAUUUAUGAAUAUUUCUAUUUUUAUAAAUUCAGGGAAACGGAGUUUAAUUACCGGCUGUACAAGAAAUGGUUCUUACAAGCACCGAGGAAGUCCGUCACGUCCGAUUCGUCACGGUCCACGUCAAUUCUGUCGAUCGAUUUCCCAAAAAGUUCCGAUAUCCGAAUUACCUACACCGAUGUUGCCGACGGGUAAAAAGUGGAACUGCAAGAAGACGACACAAGAAAGGAAGAACAAGCAUGUAAUAUAUGUAUACAUUCACUCACAAAAGUAUUCGGGCACUUAUGGAAAUCUUUUACGAACUGUUCUAAAAUUUCUAAUUCUAAAAUUUCACGAUAAUUAAAUAACAUAUUUCCAGUUUCUCGAUUUUUGAUCGUGUUUUUAUUAAUACGUUAGGUCUUGUUUCGACAUCUCGUGAACACUCCAGUUUACUUCUUCGGGACAGAUACGAAAACUACAUAUUAUAGGAAACAUUUUGAAAUUUCACUAGUACUGUAACGGAAUACAACUAUUACGAUUGUAUUGGUCAAGUUUGAUACAAAUCUGAAAGUGUAUAUAGAAACUACAAGAUAUUUAGCGUAAGUAUAUAUUUC